Molecule: non-coding RNA, 468 nt
Organism: Cinara cedri
Lineage: Eukaryota; Metazoa; Arthropoda; Insecta; Hemiptera; Aphididae
Source: the annotation of a GenBank genome assembly
UGUUAUUAUUAUACACGCAUACAGUACUUACAUACCUACGUAAACGACAACUAAUAUACAGCGCGUACGCCUAUGUACAGUGUGAUUAUUUUAUCGUCGAACGCUCGUUAUUUGUCGAAAAUUAAAUAGUGGCUCUUUUGCUAAACGAAAUUCCGUUGUAUAAUUCACCAUACGGCUCUAAAACGUUACGUCGUCAUUAUUUUUCGUCGUCCUUGUUUUCGCGAUUGAAACGACUGGCUAUACAUUUCAAACGGCCAACUGUGUUUAAAAAGACGCACAUACUUCGCACGAUGGGUGCAAACCACUGUUGUUGGUGAGUAGUUGGAAAGGUAAGAUAUAAAAGGGAAAUUGAUUUGUAUCUGUAAGCAACGAUAAACCAUUGCUUACUAAAAACGAUUCUGAGCGGAGUUCAGUUGAUAGUGAUGCUCUGUUAACAAUAUGUAUGUCCUAUUCAUAUAUUACGGUAAA